Molecule: ribosomal RNA, 1261 nt
Filed under: Vibrio alginolyticus
Lineage: Bacteria; Pseudomonadati; Pseudomonadota; Gammaproteobacteria; Vibrionales; Vibrionaceae
Description: bacterial SSU rRNA
Rfam family: Bacterial small subunit ribosomal RNA
Source: RNAcentral
CGGACGGGUGAGUAAUGCCUAGGAAAUUGCCCUGAUGUGGGGGAUAACCAUUGGAAACGAUGGCUAAUACCGCAGGAUUCCUACGGGCCAAAGAGGGGGACCUUCGGGCCUCUCGCGUCAGGAUAUGCCUAGGUGGGAUUAGCUAGUUGGUGAGGUAAGGGCUCACCAAGGCGACGAGCCCUAGCUGGUCUGAGAGGAUGAUCAUCCACACUGGAACUGAGACAGGGUCCAGACUCCUACGGGAGGCAGCAUUGGGGAAUAUUGCAUAAUGGGCGCAAGCCUGAUGCAGCCAUGCCGCGUGUGUGAAGAAGGCCUUCGGGUUGUAAAGCAGUUUCAGUCGUGAGGAAGGUAGUGUAGUUAAUAGCUGCAUUAUUUGACGUUAGCGACAGAAGAAGCACCGGCUAACUCCGUUCCAGCAGCCGCGGUAAUACGGAGGGUGCGAGCCUUAAUCGGAAUUACUGGGCGUAAAGCGCAUGCAGGUGGUUUCUUAAGUCAGAUGUGAAAGCCCGGGGCUCAACCUCGGAAUAGCAGUUGAAACUGGCAGACUAGAGUACUGUAGAGGGGGGUAGAAUUUCAGGUGUAGCGGUGAAAUGCGUAGAGAUCCUUAGGAAUACCGGUGGCGAAGGCGGCCCCGCCGACAGAUACUGACACUCAGAUCACAAAGCGUGGGGAGCAAACAGGAUUAGAUACUCCGGUAGUCCACGCCGUAAACGAUGUCUACUUGGAGGUUGUGGCCUUGAGCCGUGGCUUUCGGAGCUAACGUCCUAAGUACAUCGCCUGGGGAGUACGGUCGCAAGAUUAAAACUCAAAUGAAUUGACGGGGGCCACCACAAGCGGUGGAGCAUGUGGUUUAAUUCGAUGCAACGCCACGAACCUUACCUACUCUUGACAUCCAGAGCCCUUCAGAGAGAUGGAUUGGUGCCUUCGGGAACUCUGAGACAGGUGCUUCAUGGCUGUCGUCAGCUCGUGUUGUGAAAUGUUGGGUUAAGUCCCGCAACGAGCGCAACCCUUAUCGUUGUUUGCCAGCGAGUAAUGUCGGGAACUCCAGGGAGACUGCCGGUGAUAUCCCGGAGGAAGGUGGGGACGACGUCAAGUCAUCAUGGCCCUUACGAGUAGGGCUACACACGUGUUACAAUGGCGCAUACAGAGGGCGGCCAACUUGCGAAAGUGAGCGAAUCCCAAAAAGUGCGUCGUAGUCCGGAUUGGAGUCUGCAACUCGACUCCAUGAAGCUUGAAUCGCUAGUAAUCGUGGAUCAGAAUG